GUUAUAAGAUCCCUCAAAGAUGAUGAGGUUAAUAGGUUCGAGGUGGAAGCAUGGUGACAUGUGGAGCUGACGAAUACUAAUCGAUCGAAGACUUAAUCAAA
RNAcentral lists this ribosomal RNA (101 nucleotides) under Staphylococcus aureus. Its description in RNAcentral is "partial 23S ribosomal RNA". It matches the Rfam family "Bacterial large subunit ribosomal RNA", at positions 2825 to 2925 of the family's 2925-position model. The record is from RNAcentral. Lineage: Bacteria; Bacillati; Bacillota; Bacilli; Caryophanales; Staphylococcaceae.